Molecule: non-coding RNA, 85 nt
Filed under: unclassified sequences
Source: RNAcentral
GAAAAACUACACUAUGUGUAGUCGGGUAUUUCUUUGUACGUCAUUAAGGAAUUUCCUGCUUUGCAAAGAAGAUAUCUCAGUUUAG